GACGAACGCUGGCGGCGUGCCUAAUACAUGCAAGUAGAACGCUGAAGGAGGAGCUUGCUUCUCUGGAUGAGUUGCGAACGGGUGAGUAACGCGUAGGUAACCUGCCUGGUAGCGGGGGAUAACUAUUGGAAACGAUAGCUAAUACCGCAUAAUAGCAGUUAUUGCAUGAUAACUGUUUGAAAGGUGCAAUUGCACCGCUACCAGAUGGACCUGCGUUGUAUUAGCUAGUUGGUGGGGUAACGGCUCACCAAGGCGACGAUACAUAGCCGACCUGAGAGGGGGAUCGGCCACACUGGGACUGAGACACGGCCCAGACUCCUACGGGAGGCAGCAGUAGGGAAUCUUCGGCAAUGGACGGAAGUCUGACCGAGCAACGCCGCGUGAGUGAAGAAGGUUUUCGGAUCGUAAAGCUCUGUUGUAAGAGAAGAACGAGUGUGAGAGUGGAAAGUUCACACUGUGACGGUAUCUUACCAGAAAGGGACGGUUAACUACGUG
RNAcentral lists this ribosomal RNA (495 nucleotides) under uncultured bacterium. RNAcentral's name for it is "partial 16S ribosomal RNA". It matches the Rfam family "Bacterial small subunit ribosomal RNA", at positions 28 to 507 of the family's 1533-position model. The record is from RNAcentral.